UACGGGGGAUGCAAGCGUUAUCCGGAAUCAUUGGGCGUAAAGCGCCUGUAGGUUGUUUAAUAAGUCUGUUGUUAAAGACUAGGGCUUAACCCUAGGAAAGCAAUGGAAACUACUAGACUAGAGUAUGGCAGGGGUAGAGGGAAUUUCUAGUGUAGCGGUGAAAUGCGUAGAUAUUAGAAAGAACACCGGUGGCGAAAGCGCUCUACUGGACCAUUACUGACACUCAGAGGCGAAAGCUAGGGUAGCAAAUGGGAUUAGAUACCCCAGUAGUCCUAGCCGUAAACGAUGGAUACUAGAUGUUGGACAGUCGCUGCAGUAUCAAAGCUAACGCGUUAAGUAUCCCGCCUGGGAAGUAUGCUCGCAAGAGUG
RNAcentral lists this ribosomal RNA (369 nucleotides) under uncultured phototrophic eukaryote. Its description in RNAcentral is "SSU rRNA". It matches the Rfam family "Bacterial small subunit ribosomal RNA", at positions 524 to 896 of the family's 1533-position model. The record is from RNAcentral.